UACGUAGGGUGCGAGCGUUAAUCGGAAUUACUGGGCGUAAAGAGUGCGUAGGCGGAUAUGUAAGUUAGAUGUGAAAUACCUGGGCUUAACCUGGGAGGUGCAUUUAAGACUGUGUAUCUAGAGUAUGUCAGAGGGGGGUAGAAUUCCAAGUGUAGCAGUGAAAUGCGUAGAGAUUUGGAGGAAUACCGAUGGCGAAGGCAGCCCCCUGGGAUGAUACUGACGCUGAGGCACGAAAGCGUGGGUAGCAAACAGG
RNAcentral lists this ribosomal RNA (253 nucleotides) under uncultured prokaryote. RNAcentral describes it as "partial 16S ribosomal RNA". It matches the Rfam family "Bacterial small subunit ribosomal RNA", at positions 524 to 776 of the family's 1533-position model. The record is from RNAcentral.